GGCCCGGUAGCUCAGUCGGUUAGAGCAGGGGACUCAUAAUCCCUUGGUCGGGGGUUCGAGUCCCUCCCGGGCUAC
This 75-nucleotide transfer RNA is filed under the name Posidoniimonas corsicana. Its description in RNAcentral is "Planctomycetes bacterium KOR34 tRNA-Met". It matches the Rfam family "tRNA". Rfam says of the family: Transfer RNA (tRNA) molecules are approximately 80 nucleotides in length. RNAcentral also lists the same sequence under 1 other name. Lineage: Bacteria; Pseudomonadati; Planctomycetota; Planctomycetia; Pirellulales; Lacipirellulaceae. The record is from RNAcentral.